GUCCACGCCCUAAACGAUGCCUGCUUGGUGUUUCGAGUAUCGACCCUCGGAGCGCCGGAGCUAACGCGUUAAGCAGGCCGCCUGGGAAGUACGGCCGCAAGGCUAAAACUCAAAGGAAUAGACGGGGACUCGCACAAGCGGUGGAACAUGAGGUUUAAUUCGACAGUAAGCGAGGAACCUUACCAGGGCUUGAAAUGCAUGCUGACGGGAGACGGAAACGUUUCCCUUCUCACAAGGACAGUAUGCGCAGGUGCUGCAUGGUUGUCGU
This 268-nucleotide ribosomal RNA is filed under the name uncultured bacterium. RNAcentral's name for it is "partial 16S ribosomal RNA". It matches the Rfam family "Bacterial small subunit ribosomal RNA", at positions 793 to 1055 of the family's 1533-position model. The record is from RNAcentral.